This is a long non-coding RNA of Gossypium arboreum, 311 nucleotides long. RefSeq lists it as uncharacterized. The record is from RefSeq and is a predicted model, not a curated record. The transcript is spliced from 2 exons. Lineage: Eukaryota; Viridiplantae; Streptophyta; Magnoliopsida; Malvales; Malvaceae.
AAACCUUGAGAGAUGGAUUAAGCUUCCCUGAAAGUGCUUGUAACAAGGUGGUCUUUCCGCAGCCUGGAGGGCCAAGCAAUAGAGUCAUCCUGCAUAAAAACAAUCAUGCAUAGCUGACAAGAAUGUAGAAGUCGAUAGCCAAAGUGAACCUUGAGGGCUUGAUGAUGCCGCUGAUAUCUUUGAGAAUUUUUAUCUUGUAUGAUUGAGACUUGCAUCUGCUAACUUUUGUCAAAGCCUGUUUAACAUUAUAAAUCUCUCCCAUUAGGGUGAUAUAUAUCCAAAUAGUAAUGAAAAAGAGCGCAUUUGAGGAA